UGAGGAAUAUUGGUCAAUGGGCGGAAGCCUGAACCAGCCAAGUCGCGUGAGGGAAGACGGUCCUAUGGAUUGUAAACCUCUUUUGCAGGGGAGCAAGGAGCGGUACGCGUACCGCUUUGGAGAGUACCCUGAGAAAAAGCAUCGGCUAACUCCGUGCC
RNAcentral lists this ribosomal RNA (158 nucleotides) under uncultured bacterium. Its description in RNAcentral is "partial 16S ribosomal RNA". It matches the Rfam family "Bacterial small subunit ribosomal RNA", at positions 355 to 509 of the family's 1533-position model. The record is from RNAcentral.